AUUGAACGCUGGCGGCAGGCCUAACACAUGCAAGUCGAACGGUAACAGGAAACAGCUUGCUGUUUCGCUGACGAGUGGCGGACGGGUGAGUAAUGUCUGGGAAACUGCCUGAUGGAGGGGGAUAACUACUGGAAACGGUAGCUAAUACCGCAUAACGUCGCAAGCCCAAAGAGGGGGACCUUCGGGCCUCUUGCCAUCGGAUGUGCCCAGAUGGGAUUAGCUAGUAGGUGGGGUAACGGCUCACCUAGGCGACGAUCCCUAGCUGGUCUGAGAGGAUGACCAGCCACACUGGAACUGAGACACGGUCCAGACUCCUACGGGAGGCAGCAGCGGGGAAUAUUGCACAAUGGGCGCAAGCCUGAUGCAGCCAUGCCGCGUGUAUGAAGAAGGCCUUCGGGUUGUAAAGUACUUUCAGCGGGGAGGAAGGGAGUAAAGUUAAUACCUUUGCUCAUUGACGUUACCCGCAGAAGAAGCACCGGCUAACUCCGUG
This 490-nucleotide ribosomal RNA is filed under the name uncultured bacterium. Its description in RNAcentral is "partial 16S ribosomal RNA". It matches the Rfam family "Bacterial small subunit ribosomal RNA", at positions 30 to 507 of the family's 1533-position model. The record is from RNAcentral.